AAGAAGAAGAAGCACUCCCCGCCACCAGAUCAACCAUCGACAGUAGAAACACCGACAGAAAAGGGAGAAGCCGGAGGAGCUGGACAGAUCUAAAAAACAAAAUAAAAACGACUGCUUGGGUGUUUUCUCUUGUUGCAGGUCACGGUGAAAGCCACCACGGACAGGGAAGAGAAGAGGGGAGGAAGCCAUUACAGCCCCCUCACGCCGCCUGAAUUUUAGGGCGGCGCGUGAACC
RNAcentral lists this long non-coding RNA (234 nucleotides) under Populus tremula. RNAcentral describes it as "long non-coding RNA (PTRE_LNC003132)". The record is from RNAcentral. Lineage: Eukaryota; Viridiplantae; Streptophyta; Magnoliopsida; Malpighiales; Salicaceae.